GCCCCUGUAGCUCAGUCGGUAGAGCGGUGCUCUCGUAAAGCACAGGCCAGCGGUUCGAUUCCGCUCGGGGGCUCCA
Molecule: transfer RNA, 76 nt
Filed under: Euzebya pacifica
Lineage: Bacteria; Bacillati; Actinomycetota; Nitriliruptoria; Euzebyales; Euzebyaceae
Description: Euzebya sp. DY32-46 tRNA-Thr
Rfam family: tRNA
About the family: Transfer RNA (tRNA) molecules are approximately 80 nucleotides in length. Their secondary structure includes four short double-helical elements and three loops (D, anti-codon, and T loops). Further hydrogen bonds mediate the characteristic L-shaped molecular structure. tRNAs have two regions of fundamental functional importance: the anti-codon, which is responsible for specific mRNA codon recognition, and the 3' end, to which the tRNAs corresponding amino acid is attached (by aminoacyl-tRNA synthetases). tRNAs cope with the degeneracy of the genetic code in two manners: having more than one tRNA (with a specific anti-codon) for a particular amino acid; and 'wobble' base-pairing, i.e. permitting non-standard base-pairing at the 3rd anti-codon position.
Source: RNAcentral